GAUCAUGGCUCAGAUUGAACGCUGGCGGCAUGCCUUACACAUGCAAGUCGAACGGCAGCACGGGAGCAAUCCUGGUGGCGAGUGGCGAACGGGUGAGUAAUAUAUCGGAACGUGCCCAGUCUGGGGGAUAACGUAGCGAAAGCUACGCUAAUACCGCAUACGAUCUAUGGAUGAAANCGGGGGAUCGCAAGACCUCGCGCGAUUGGAGCGGCCGAUAUCAGAUUAGGUAGUUGGUGGGGUAAAGGCCUACCAAGCCGACGAUCCUUAGCUGGUCUGAGAGGAUGAUCAGCCACACUGGUACUGAGACACGGACCAGACUCCUACGGGAGGCAGCAGUGAGGAAUAUUGGACAAUGGGCGCAAGCCUGAUCCAGCAAUGCCGCGUGAGUGAUGAAGGCCUUAGGGUUGUAAAGCUCUUUUACCCGGGAUGAUAAUGACAGUACCGGGAGAAUAAGCUCCGGCUAACUCCGUG
This 471-nucleotide ribosomal RNA is filed under the name uncultured bacterium. Its description in RNAcentral is "bacterial SSU rRNA". It matches the Rfam family "Bacterial small subunit ribosomal RNA", at positions 15 to 507 of the family's 1533-position model. The record is from RNAcentral.